AUUGAACGCUGGCGGCAGGCCUAACACAUGCAAGUCGAACGAGUGGCGGACGGGUGAGUCAUGUCUGGGAAACUGCCUGAUGGAGGGGGAUACCUACUGGAAACGGUAGCUAAUACCGCAUACCAUCAGAUGUGCCCAGAUGGGAUUAGCUUGUUGGUGGGGUAACGGCUCACCAAGGCGACGAUCCCUAGCUGGUCUGAGAGGAUGCCAAGCCAAACUGGAACGGAGACACGGUCCAGACUCCGAAGGGAGGCAGCAGGGGGGAAUAUUGCACAAUGGGCGAAAGCCUGAUGCAGCCAUGCCGCGUGUAUGAAGAAGGCCUUCGGGUUGUAAAGUACUUUCAGCGGGGAGGCGUUACCCGCAGAAGAAGCACAGGCUAACGCCGUGCCAGCCGCCGCGGUAAUUC
Molecule: ribosomal RNA, 406 nt
Filed under: uncultured bacterium
Lineage: Bacteria
Description: partial 16S ribosomal RNA
Rfam family: Bacterial small subunit ribosomal RNA
Source: RNAcentral